RNAcentral lists this ribosomal RNA (461 nucleotides) under uncultured bacterium. RNAcentral's name for it is "partial 16S ribosomal RNA". It matches the Rfam family "Bacterial small subunit ribosomal RNA", at positions 29 to 507 of the family's 1533-position model. The record is from RNAcentral.
AUAAGCGCUGGCGGCGUGCUUAACACAUGCAAGUCGAACGAAGUUUUUCUUUCGGGAGGAACUUAGUGGCGGACGGGUGAGUAACGCGUGGGUAACCUGCCCUGUACAGGGGGACAACAGCUGGAAACGGCUGCUAAUACCGCAUAAGCCCUUAGCACUGCAUGGUGCAUAGGGAAAAGGAGCAAUCCGGUACAGGAUGGACCCGCGUCUGAUUAGCCAGUUGGCAGGGUAACGGCCUACCAAAGCGACGAUCAGUAGCCGAUCUGAGAGGAUGUACGGCCACAUUGGGACUGAGACACGGCCCAGGCUCCUACGGGAGGCAGCAGUGGGGAAUAUUGCACAAUGGAGGAAACUCUGAUGCAGCGACGCCGCGUGAGUGAAGAAGUAUUUCGGUAUGUAAAGCUCUAUCAGCAGGAAAGAAAAUGACGGUACCUGACUAAGAAGCACCGGCUAAAUACGUG